CUGAGAGGGGGAAGAAAUUGCUUGGGUGUGGUUGCAAUCCAUCAAGGAUUGAGGGAGAAAGGUUUUAAUUCCAUACCAGAUAUUAGAGAAAAAAAGGUGAGAUGAAGAGAUGUAGGGAUUUUUGUUCUCUAGUGAAGAAGAUACAUGAAAAUAUAGAUGAAUUUUUUAUGGAGGAUUUAUAGAGAAACAUGGCCUGCAUAUAGCCAUUUUUGUGUCAAGAGAAAUUUGUUGAUUUGUUGAUGAUAGGUAGAUGANNNNNNNNNNNNNNNNAUGGAUACAUUUAAGAAGUGCAUGUUGGACAGAUGGAAUGUUGCAUGGAAGAUUGCAUGGGUUUGAGUAUUAAUGAGAGGAAUUUGCAGGUCUUCUGAUACAGUGAA
This 377-nucleotide long non-coding RNA is filed under the name Trifolium pratense (red clover). RNAcentral describes it as "long non-coding RNA (TPRA_LNC004928)". Lineage: Eukaryota; Viridiplantae; Streptophyta; Magnoliopsida; Fabales; Fabaceae. The record is from RNAcentral.